This 71-nucleotide transfer RNA is filed under the name Halorubellus sp. JP-L1. It matches the Rfam family "tRNA". From Rfam's summary of the family: Transfer RNA (tRNA) molecules are approximately 80 nucleotides in length. Their secondary structure includes four short double-helical elements and three loops (D, anti-codon, and T loops). Lineage: Archaea; Methanobacteriati; Methanobacteriota; Halobacteria; Halobacteriales; Halorubellaceae. The record is from Rfam by way of RNAcentral.
GCGCCGGUGGUCUAAUGGCAAGACCUUGGCCUUCCAAGCCAAUGAUCCGGGUUCGAUUCCCGGCCGGUGCA